CACUCAUCGAGACCGGCUGAGGGACAGGCCCUUUGAAGCCGGGGCAACCUGCGGAAUGUUCCGCGACGGUGCCAACUCCUGCGGUGGCGCAAGGCGCCCCGGCAGAUGGGCA
Molecule: non-coding RNA, 112 nt
Filed under: Rhodanobacter spathiphylli
Lineage: Bacteria; Pseudomonadati; Pseudomonadota; Gammaproteobacteria; Lysobacterales; Rhodanobacteraceae
Description: Rhodanobacter sp. SAM-I sequence
Rfam family: SAM riboswitch aptamer (S box leader)
About the family: The SAM riboswitch is found upstream of a number of genes which code for proteins involved in methionine or cysteine biosynthesis in Gram-positive bacteria. The SAM riboswitch acts at the level of transcription termination control.
Source: RNAcentral